This 1634-nucleotide long non-coding RNA is filed under the name Homo sapiens (human). RNAcentral's name for it is "HSALNT0170376". The record is from RNAcentral. Lineage: Eukaryota; Metazoa; Chordata; Mammalia; Primates; Hominidae.
CAGGCGCGAGGGCGGCAGCGACCGCCUGAGAGACAGGGUCCCACCAUUUUGCCCAGGCUGGUCUCAAACUCCUGAGCCAAGUGAUCCACCUGCCUCAGCCUCCCAAAGCACUGGGAUGACAGGCGUGAGCCACCAUACCCGGCCCCAGCAGUACAAUCUGGAAGUCAUCAUUCCUUCCAUUUAUCUGGAAUUCCCAAGCUACCUUUGUCGGGAUGCAGGAAUUAAUGGAGUACACCAGCUUUUUAUCCUUAAAUGAACUUUGGGGAUUUUAGGCUUCCUGAUACUUUAAGCGUGUUGAGUAUAUUCUUACAAAUAGGAUUUGAGUUAUCUUUCUUUCUCUGCUGAGUUUCUUCAAAAAGUGUCAACUAUACCUGUGAAUAUUCUGAAUUCAUGGCCUUGUGUUUGUUUGCAUACAGUCAGGCAGGGCCGCCAGGGCCGCUCAGGGAGAGAGAACCCAGAAACCUGGCACGCCGGCAAAAGGGGAAGAAUUUCUUACGUCAGUCUCUGGCCUCUUUCUCUCUCUGCAAACUGGUGAAUCUCCUCUGUGAAGUUUUAAAUUAAUUGGUUUAAUAAUAAUAAGAGCUUAAAUCCAAUAUUUUGUCAGAAAAGUAGAAAGUGUAAUGCCCUUUAGUUCAUGUGACUUUAGCAAUCUUUGGGAAAUAAAAAUGGUUUUAAAGAUUAUUGGUAAAAUACAAAUGUCUUCAAAAUGUAAACGUAUGGUCUAAAAUAUGUUCAAAUAUUAGGUUUGCUAAAUGCUUUAAGGUCAUAAACUGUUUCUUUGGGUUUUGAAAAUUGUUGGACUUGCCUGCUUUCCAGCUAGGUAAGGUCUGGGGACUUGUGGAGUUGGCCACACCCCUGGCUGUGCUGGAAAUAGCCAAACUGUAUCAGAACAUAACUUACCAGGUCUUACAUUAAAAUUCACCAUUAUAACAUGCAAUUAAGACUGCUAGAAACAGCUUUACAUGCAAAGUGUGUAAGAACAGUAGAAUGUGUGUGUCUAUGUGUGUGUGUGUGUUUUUUGAGAUGGAGUUUCACUCUUGUUGCCCAGGCUGGAGUGCAAUGGCGCAAUCUCGGCUCACUGCAACCUCUGCCUCCUGGGCUCAAGUGAUUCUCCUGUCUCAGCCUCCUGAGUAGCUGGGAUUACAGGCACAUGCCACCAUGCCCAGCUGAUUUUUGUAUUUUUAGUAGGGACGGGGUUUCAUUAUAUUGGUCAGGCUGGUCUCAAACUCCUGACCUCAGGUGAUCCGCCCACCUCGGCCUCCCAAAGUGCUGGGAUUACAGGUGUGAGCCACCGCGGCCAGCCAUGUGUGUGUUUUUUAAAGAUUAUAAAAGGUUUUUCCUUCUUUAAAAUGUCUGAGUCAUCAUUUUGACAAAAUAAGUAAGUAAUGGUAAUCUGGAAUUUCAAAAUCAAACUUCAGUUUCAAAAUUGUCUUUCCUAAUGCCUGGCUUUCUUGGACGAAUCAGAGAGCCCCUGAAAGCAUCCAGAAAUGAGGUAAACAGAAUUAUUUGAUGUGUUUAGGUACACAGGAUUGCCACAAUUAUGCUCAAUCUUCUUUAGGUUGUAUUUUUGUGAAUAAUACUAAUAUAUAUUCCUAAAUUAUAUGAGAUUUCUAAAAUUCUAAUGUCUAAGUGUA